RNAcentral lists this ribosomal RNA (647 nucleotides) under Microbacterium hydrocarbonoxydans. Its description in RNAcentral is "bacterial SSU rRNA". It matches the Rfam family "Bacterial small subunit ribosomal RNA", at positions 87 to 748 of the family's 1533-position model. Lineage: Bacteria; Bacillati; Actinomycetota; Actinomycetes; Micrococcales; Microbacteriaceae. The record is from RNAcentral.
UGGGAUCAGUGGCGAACGGGUGAGUAACACGUGAGCAACCUGCCCCUGACUCUGGGAUAAGCGCUGGAAACGGCGUCUAAUACUGGAUACGAACCACGAAGGCAUCUUCAGUGGUUGGAAAGAAUUUCGGUUGGGGAUGGGCUCGCGGCCUAUCAGCUUGUUGGUGAGGUAAUGGCUCACCAAGGCGUCGACGGGUAGCCGGCCUGAGAGGGUGACCGGCCACACUGGGACUGAGACACGGCCCAGACUCCUACGGGAGGCAGCAGUGGGGAAUAUUGCACAAUGGGCGAAAGCCUGAUGCAGCAACGCCGCGUGAGGGAUGACGGCCUUCGGGUUGUAAACCUCUUUUAGCAGGGAAGAAGCGAAAGUGACGGUACCUGCAGAAAAAGCGCCGGCUAACUACGUGCCAGCAGCCGCGGUAAUACGUAGGGCGCAAGCGUUAUCCGGAAUUAUUGGGCGUAAAGAGCUCGUAGGCGGUUUGUCGCGUCUGCUGUGAAAUCCGGAGGCUCAACCUCCGGCCUGCAGUGGGUACGGGCAGACUAGAGUGCGGUAGGGGAGAUUGGAAUUCCUGGUGUAGCGGUGGAAUGCGCAGAUAUCAGGAGGAACACCGAUGGCGAAGGCAGAUCUCUGGGCCGUAACUGACGCUG